AUGCUCUUUCUAUGGUGGGCGAGAGACUGCACAACAUUUGUUUUUACUUGCCAUGUUGCUAGGGUGACCUGGAGGACAGUGGCAUGCAUGUUUGGCACUGCUCUGUGCCCUGAUAACAUUUGGCAAGCUUAUGUAUGGUGCUUUACAUUCUUCCCUGGUGGGGAAAAGUUUUAUACAGUGGGGAUUGCUGUUGUGUGUUGGGCGAUCUUGUCUUGUCGCAAUAGAGCUACCUUCGAGUUCAAUCCGCUUAAAAAUCCUUUUGAAUGUAUUUUUUCUGCAUGUGCUCUAAUGUGCUACUGGGCAGGAUUGCUGAAGCAAGAUGAUGCGGCUACCAUGAGGGAUGGGGCAAAGAUGCUGAAGGAGAAUGCGUCAAUGAUGAUGAGAAUCUGUGCGGCGAACCAUGAAGAAUCGGCUCGUUGA
This 420-nucleotide ribosomal RNA is filed under the name Triticum aestivum (bread wheat). RNAcentral's name for it is "partial small subunit ribosomal RNA". The record is from RNAcentral. Lineage: Eukaryota; Viridiplantae; Streptophyta; Magnoliopsida; Poales; Poaceae.